GUGUGUGUAUGCAGCAGCAACGGUUGGAAAAAGUGCGCGCGCGCGCGCGCGUCUGAAGCGUUUCUGAAGCGUGGACCCAUCCGUCGGUAAAUCUUUAAAAAUCGAUCGACACUAUGUGCGAGGUCACGUCACGUGUCGGAGGUUUAACCCCAGUUUUGGAUCGUGUGUGAUUGGAAAGAAGAGGCGACUCGUCUUCUUCGAUGCGACGUGAUUUUCACGUGAUUAAUUGAAGAACGUGGUUUUUCAAUUGAAGAAAUACCGAGUGGCAUCGUAGAUUAAUAGCAAGGGGGGUUGCACGGUGACCAAAAAAAGUCACAACGUCAUAAAAAUUGUGUAAAAGAUUGUGGUGACAAGAGUUAAUAGUGAUAAAAAAAAUUUCAAGAGUCGACUUGAAUCGAUGUAUAAUAUCCAAAUUAUGGAUAUUCGUGCGGAAGCGAUGUGUCGCCAUGACGAUUGGACGAAGAUCAUGGGGACCUUAACCGGCCCCGAGGGACGACUCUGUCCUCGCCUGCACGCUCGGAGAUGCGACUCUCGGCAUCGCGUUUAGAAACGGUCCAGCCGCUAUGGAAUUUGCUCUGUGAUAGUCAGUUUUAUCCAGCCAAAGAAUUGCUUUACGGAUUUACGGAGAUCGGAAUCUUCGGAAGCUUUAUCCUACCAAAGAGAAGCGGAGUAAUUGCGCUUUAUCGCUCGUAGCAAUAAUACAUAUAUUUUCGAUAAUUUAUAAAACGGAAAGCGAUCUCAUCGCACUGGGAACACCCAGGCAUAUCGGAACUCUCAAAGGGAUUAGAUAUCUCGAUAGGACAUUGGGACAUAUAUCAAGCGGAAACUAUCGAGCGAUAUCCAGAUGAAAUUUCGCAAAUCCUCUUCAUCCAGCCCGAAGAUGGAAUUAUUAUCGAGACGUUCCUCGGGCGGCAGGAUGUCGACCUUGAAGAGGUCGAGGUCCUUCCGAGCGUCUGUGAAACUGAUAUCGAAGAUACGCAACCACGCGAAUUUGCGAUUGACCCCCGGUUUCGAUCUCUCGUCCGUCUCGAAAGAUCUCAUCGCUAAGAAGGGAUGUAACCUCUCCGCCCUUGAAGAAUCUCAGGGCGAGAAGUCAUCGACUCCACGAAAAGACUCCGAGGACACGAGUCCUCCUAUCGAGGAGAAAAUCGGUGACGAGGCAUCCACCAGUCCUCGGAGGGUCUCGGUGUCGACUCUCGACGCCGAUCCGCGAGAGAUCACAAAAGAUCUAAAGAGCAAGCUGUCUCUGACCGACAGACUAAUGGGUAAGGGUCGUAAGGACGUGGAAAAACCCUCGACGAAGGACGAAGGUAUGAUGAAAUCACCGAAGGUUAUUCACAUCUUUCGCAGAAGACACAGCGCGGACAACCCGCAGGAGGAUACUCGAGGGAAGGACUGUACUGAUAAAUCUGUGUCUUACGAGACAGAUAUGUGUCGAUCGAGUAAACAUGUGUUCUAUGAGAACCCCACAUUCGUGCUGGAUAGCUCCUUGGACUCCUCCGUCUCGAGCUUCCUCUUUGAAGUCGAAGAGGAGGAAGAGGAACAACGACAGAAACAAGAUGAGAAAACUAAGAGCGCUGCAUCAUCCAAGUGCGACAUUCUGACCGUCGUCGUGGAUUCCCACAAGGCUAACGGACCUUUCUAUCGCAAAAAGAAUUAUGCGCGAGGUGAAAAUGAAAAAUACCUCGAGAACGAAGACUCGCGAAAUGCAUUUCGUCCUAGAUGCGAGACAGAUCCUCCGAAAUGUCCUCGCGAACCGAGGGGCGAGGGCUCGCCCGCGAGCGCGAUAAACCGACGGACGGUCGAGUCCUUCGGAGAAUUUGAUCGCCCGAGGAUUAAGUUUUAUUGCAAGGUACACGAGACGGAGAAAAAAAAUGCGACGGUCUAUCAGAGUCAGAAAAUUCACGAUGAUGCUAAGAUCUGUCCUUCGAAGUCCUGCAGAAUCAGGACGGUCGACAAUAUCGCCAAUUUUUGGACGAGCAAACGUGGUAAUAGUUUCCGGAAUAAAAUAGUGACCGGUAGGAAAAGAGACGCGAAGGAUUACGAGCAGCUCGGUCAGGAGCGAGUUUUCAUGUCGACAUCAUCGGGAUCAAAAUUCCACUCGUUGCAAGGGAUGGAGUUCCUGGAGGGUUUGGGUAAGAAGAAACAGCAGCCCCAACAACUAAAUAAUCUAUCGUCGAUACACAUCAAUCCUCUCUCGGCCCAAUCCCUCAACAUACACCUGCAUGCCCUAUUUGCGGCUGUGGAACAUGGUCACUUGGAUAAGGCGAGGACUAUUUUGGAGUCUACCGAUGUGGACGUAAAUAGCGUUAACAGCGACGGCCUGUCACCGCUGGACGUUGCCGUGCUGAGUAACAACAGGCCGCUGGCAAAAAUGCUAGUUGCUUUCGGGGCGCAGGAAGGGAACCAAUUCAAGUCUCCGGAAUCUCUGGGUAGUCACUUGGCAUCAUUGCUCUCGGAAGCGGAACACAGAGUUCAAGAACUUGGUGGCAGUACUUCCGGCAGCGGUGGAACUAUUCUGUUAGAGCCGCCUGGCAGCCAUAGGGCCAGCUUUUCCACGCAACAUAACAAUCUCACGGGAUGCGGUGGUAGCACAGAGGACAAGCAGCUUGCUCUGUGGGAAAGGAGAGCCAGAGCUCUCAGGAAAAUGUUACUGGGUUUCGAUCAAGCGCGCCCACCCGACAUGCCCUUCCUAGUCGCGGUUGACGUCACCGGAACGACGUCAGUGACAGUCAGGUUCCAAGAACCGGACUCGCACGACUCUCCGAUCUGUACCAAGUUCAAGGUUCAAUGGAGCUUGCACGAUGACUUUUCGGUCGUUUGCGGCGAGAGAGAGGUUCUGGACAUGAAGCAGAGGGAAUGUCGCAUCGAAAGCUUAACGCAAGGUCAAAGGUAUCACUUUCGCGCCGCAGCCGGAAAUCUGAAGGGUUACAGCAGGUUCAGGAACUCAUCACCCGCACACGUUACACCUAGCAGUUGGAGAGAUAUAGAUGGCAGAGUGCCGAGAUUCGCGGGGCGGUUGGAACAGUUGAACACUUUGUUCACCGACAUAAGGCGGCCGGAGUACACGCAAGAAACGCCGGCGGUGCAGAGGCGAAAUCACAAGAAGAAAACAACGAUAAAACAGCUCUUCACAGCGACGAGUAAAUUUCAGAAGAAUCUCAGGCGAGGAGUAUUUCUGGCGUGUCUACUCUAUCACGAGGACAAGGUUCUCGUUACAAAUGAAGAUUUUUUACCCGUAAUUGAGAUAGACGAGACGUAUCCCAGCUGUAUCUACAACGAUUUUCAUUGGCUCAUGAAAGUCGCCUGUACGUGGGACGACGUUAAAUCCCUUCGGCAGGACAUGGAAAAGAGUCACAGCAGCUCGACUAAUCAUUUUAGGAUAAAAUUACUUCAAGCAGCUGCCCAAAUGCAGGCUGCGCUGUGCAUACAAGACCUUGGACAAUUGUAUCAUAAACCUAUCAGAGACAUCCAAGGCACUUUAGUGUUCUCGACAGUGAAUUACAUAAAGUCACCGAAAUUGGUAUCUGUAUUAAACAGCAGAUGGUUGCCGCUCAGUAAAGUCAUAAAAAAGGUCAUAACGCACGAAGACAGUAACGUCUCUGAUAUCCUGAUGGCCAGCAUACAAGAGCAAAUGACAUAUCACCAAGUCAGCAGUAUUAAACUAUCUAAGGGUUUAUAUCUCGGUUAUCUGAAAAUGCAAAGCAGCGUGGACCUCAUACAGGUUGUUGUUCCAACGAAAUCGCCGAAUGUAUUGCCACAUUGCAAGAUCCGCGAUAAUCCGCACGUGUCUGCGGAGGAGUGGGACUACCUCAAGAGGGUAACGCGCAUCUGCACAUCCGAAUCUUCCGUGAAGGAAUCCGAGGAGAAGGAGAACGUGACAAACGAGGCGCAAGGGACGGAACAGCAGAAGCUGUUUGUCGAUUUGGUCGCCGCGACAGCGCGACGACUGUUCAAUUAUAUGGAAAUCAAUCCGGAGGAUUCGUUGGGGCAUCGGCUAUACGACGCCGAGGUGAUCGAUCUGACUCACGACGUGUCGUUCCUGAUCGCCGUACCGCCCGCCGAAACCGCUUGUUGCGUGCCUGGCACGCGAGAAAUUCUGCUACAACGCGGUGAUCUCCUAUCGUUGCCCAUUCAAGUCUUCGAGAUGGUGCACCUGAACACGUAUCAAAAAGAUGUAAUCAAUCGUUACUCGAGACUCAGCUGCAUCUUGGAACUGGACACCGCGCAGGCACAGCAUAAUCACAGAGAAGCCUUCAGUUCCUUGGAAUUGAGCAUUGCGAAGGAUAAACUUGCGAGACUGCAGGAUCUUCAGACGCAAGUGAACACCGUGUGGAAAGGUGCCAGAUGGUUGAUUGACGUUAUAACUUUCGCGAGAGAUCGCGGCUCUUCCCAACAAAACAUCGCGUCGCAAACCGUUGGCAUAUCUAUGAAACACUUGCUCAGUCUGGAUAGAAACAAAAACAGCAACAGUAACAGUUUGAAACGAAGUUUGUUACAAUUGCCACCGAGAGAUCCUAAGCUCGUGAAGUCGAGCCCCGGCCGUGGCAGCUGGCCAGGUCCCAAUCUGUCGAAAUCGUCCUCCAACCUUCUCACGACGGAAUUCAGCAAGAGCGAGCAACAAUUGCCCAGUGGGCAAUAUGUUCGCAAGGGCAGCAAUACCUCAAACGCAUCGACGACCUCGGAGCCGCCGAAAUCAUCAUGCGCGCCGAUAAGCAGCAACAGCAAUCUGAGCAAUUUGACAACCACCAGCAGCGCCAAUCAUUUAUUACCGCUACAGAACACGAGGUUACCGCCCUCCAAGUCCGAGGACACCUUGAUCCUCACCAAGUACAAACACAGCCCGCGAAAUCGUUCUGCCACGAUAACAUCGACGUCGGCCACCACCAGUCCGUUGUUGAGCAUCAAGCCCAUCAUGUACGGCGGUUCGUUGCUGAGUGUCUCCACGGCGAUGACAAACACUACGAGUCUGCUGAGCGUGAGUAACACGAAUUCCGAUAGUCUGCACUCGUUGAGCAGCGAUGAGUACUCCGCGACGAAUUCAAGCGUCUGCUUGAAAGCCGGCCAGCCGAUCAAAAUCAAGACGUCCAAGCCGACCGCGAGCGUCGCGGCGAUGGCCACCGUUCCGCCGGAUAAUCUGGAUAACGAGGAGAAGGACGAGGCGACGAUGAUGCCGGCACCCCUGCCAGGCAUUCUUCAGGGAACACAAGUCUAACCCGAUUAUAAUUAAAAACAGCUCACUUGGUCCUCUCGUGCAAACCGAAUGUAGCGGAUAUAUUGAGUUUACGCGGCCUAUGAGACUGGUUUGGCAGCUGGUACCAGUUUGAAGCUGCACGUAACACCA
RNAcentral lists this unclassified non-coding RNA (5344 nucleotides) under Pogonomyrmex barbatus (red harvester ant). RNAcentral's name for it is "ankyrin repeat and fibronectin type-III domain- containing protein 1, transcript variant X5". The record is from RNAcentral. Lineage: Eukaryota; Metazoa; Arthropoda; Insecta; Hymenoptera; Formicidae.